Long non-coding RNA from Rosa rugosa (rugosa rose), 701 nucleotides. RefSeq lists it as uncharacterized. The record is from RefSeq and is a predicted model, not a curated record. NCBI's taxonomy places the organism in Eukaryota, Viridiplantae, Streptophyta, Magnoliopsida, Rosales, Rosaceae. The transcript is spliced from 2 exons.
CAUCAAGCUCCCUCUGACCCGCGACGCGACCCGACGACCCGAGAACAAGACCCGGUCGGAACUCCUCCGUCCGACCAUAUCUCGCGGCGGACCACCGGCGUUCGCUUCGUCUCGACGACGCCGACGUGCCUCUGGCCACGGAUCAUCCAUGCACGGACUGUGGAGAGAGAUUCGAAGCUUGAAAGGUUUGAACUUUCCGGCGAUGCUUCUGCAAUUUCCGGCGACCUUCGGGGCUGUGUGAGGCUUCUAGUUUCGUUUCUGGCGUCUUGGAAAACCAGUUGAGGUCCGGGGAAGCUUGGUUCCUUGAAUUGGCGUUCGGGGAUGCUUUGGUCCUUGCUGCACUUCGGACUAGGAUGCGCUCUGCCCUCUGUUCGAAAUUCACCAAGCACAGUGGCUGCAAGUUUGCUUGCUCACGAUAUCUGUUAGCUCAGAUUAAGCUACUCUGAUUGUCAAAGGUAAAAUUCGAGUUCUUGGGGUGAAACUGAGCUUUUGGUGAUUUAUUGCCGAAUGGUUGGAUGGGAGUUGAAUUGGAUGUUUGAUUUAGAAUUGGUUUAUACUUAUGUGUUGGCUGGGAAUGGAAUGAUGUUGUGAUUGUGAUUUUGGACCAAGUACAUGCUGUGAUGUUUGCUGGGAUUGAACUAUAGAUUUAAUCCUUGCUUGUGUUAGUUUUGAAUGGUGAAGUUGUUCUUGUUACUACUUAA